RNAcentral lists this long non-coding RNA (696 nucleotides) under Brassica napus (rape). RNAcentral describes it as "long non-coding RNA (BNAP_LNC019132)". The record is from RNAcentral. Lineage: Eukaryota; Viridiplantae; Streptophyta; Magnoliopsida; Brassicales; Brassicaceae.
AAUAGACUACAUAAAUCUUCUUUCAACAUGUUAAGUUAAUUAUCCCAUUCGUAAAAUCGUUUAUUUUUAUUUUUUAUUUUUAAUCAAAGAUCUUACGGACUUUAAGUUUAUAAAUUCUCUAGGUCGAAGAUCAGAGAAAGUAACUUGUCACUAAUACUCAAAAUUACACACAUAAUGGAAGGAACCCUAAUUAAGUGUAAGUUACACUUGUUAAUAUAAUACAAAGCAUCUAAAAAGAAGCAAGAUAGUACUUUGUCAACAAUGAAUUAAAUGUGGAAAGCCACAUCUAGCGAAUCAUUGUCUCUUGAUAAAGAAUCUUUCAUGAAUAGUUUGCAGCUUCAAGAUGGUCCUUGAUGGACUUGUGAUCCUCACUUAAACACACAGAGGAAAGAACAAGUAACUAAAAGAGAAUGGAUUUUAUACUUUUAAGGACAAUCCGAGACAUGGCUAGCUCUAUGGUCCUGCUGCUUUGAACAUUACGUUUUGAGAAGUUUUACAAUAAAUAUGUGUAUAAAAAAUAUAAAUGUAAGAAAAAUAGUUAGUAAUGGUCCCCCAUUUAUAGAUGUAAUGUAAUGGCGAUAGGCCUCUCCUGGGGCAUCCACAUCAAAAAAAAUUCAAAUUGUUUUUUGUACCCUAGGGUUUUGCAAAUGGGACAUGCAAGUGUUGCUAUCACAUAACUAAUUAUUAGGGUCCUUU